RNAcentral lists this ribosomal RNA (850 nucleotides) under uncultured Actinomycetes bacterium. Its description in RNAcentral is "bacterial SSU rRNA". It matches the Rfam family "Bacterial small subunit ribosomal RNA", at positions 57 to 918 of the family's 1533-position model. The record is from RNAcentral. Lineage: Bacteria; Bacillati; Actinomycetota; Actinomycetes.
GCGGGUAGAGUGUGUUGACGGGGAAUCGAAUUCCCGCGGCCGCCAUGGCGGCCGGGAGCAUGCGACGUCGGGCCCAAUUCGCCCUAUAGUGAGUCGGAUUAAUGGGUCUAAUACCGGAUAUGACCUCGGAAUGCAUGUUCUGGGGUGGAAAGAUUUAUCGGUGCGAGAUGGGCCCGCGGCCUAUCAGCUUGUUGGUGAGGUAACGGCUCACCAAGGCGACGACGGGUAGCCGACCUGAGAGGGUGACCGGCCACACUGGGACUGAGACACGGCCCAGACUCCUACGGGAGGCAGCAGUGGGGAAUAUUGCACAAUGGGCGCAAGCCUGAUGCAGCGACGCCGCGUGCGGGAUGACGGCCUUCGGGUUGUAAACCGCUUUUGACAGGGACGAAGCGCAAGUGACUGUACCUGUAGAAUAAGGACCGGCCAACUACGUGCCAGCAGCCGCGGUAAUACGUAGGGUCCGAGCGUUGUCCGGAAUUACUGGGCGUAAAGAGCUUGUAGGCGGUUCGUCGCGUCGUUUGUGAAAACUUGGGGCUCAACCUUAAGCUUGCAGGCGAUACGGGCGGACUAGAGUACUUCAGGGGAGACUGGAAUUCCUGGUGUAGCGGUGAAAUGCGCAGAUAUCAGGAGGAACACCGGUGGCGAAGGCGGGUCUCUGGGAAGUAACUGACGCUGAGAAGCGAAAGCAUGGGUAGCAAACAGGAUUAGAUACCCUGGUAGUCCAUGCCGUAAACGGUGGGUACUAGGUGUGGGGCUCCUUCCACGGACUCCGUGCCGUAGCUAACGCAUUAAGUACCCCGCCUGGGGAGUACGGCCGCAGGGCUAAAACUCAAAUGAAUUGACGGGG